GCGGCAGACGGGUGAGUAACGCGUGGGAAUCUACCAUUUGCUACGGAACAACAGUUGGAAACGACUGCUAAUACCGUAUGUGCCCUAACGGGGAAAGAUUUAUCGGCAAAUGAUGAGCCCGCGUUGGAUUAGCUAGUUGGUGGGGUAAAGGCCUACCAAGGCGACGAUCCAUAGCUGGUCUGAGAGGAUGAUCAGCCACACUGGGACUGAGACACGGCCCAGACUCCUACGGGAGGCAGCAGUGGGGAAUAUUGGACAAUGGGCGCAAGCCUGAUCCAGCCAUGCCGCGUGAGUGAUGAAGGCCCUAGGGUUGUAAAGCUCUUUCACCGGUGAAGAUAAUGACGGUAACCGGAGAAGAAGCCCCGGCUAACUUCGUGCCAGCAGCCGCGGUAAUACGAAGGGGGCUAGCGUUGUUCGGAUUUACUGGGCGUAAAGCGCACGUAGGCGGACUUUUAAGUCAGGGGUGAAAUCCCGGGGCUCAACCCCGGAACUGCCUUUGAUACUGGAAGUCUUGAGUAUGGAA
Molecule: ribosomal RNA, 523 nt
Filed under: Brucella sp.
Lineage: Bacteria; Pseudomonadati; Pseudomonadota; Alphaproteobacteria; Hyphomicrobiales; Brucellaceae
Description: bacterial SSU rRNA
Rfam family: Bacterial small subunit ribosomal RNA
Source: RNAcentral